GAAAAAUCAUCCACCUCCUUAAAAUAAAAAUAUAGAUAUUCUUAUAGAAUUAUCUAGAAAAUUAUGAUAAAAUAAUCUAGAUAUUAUGUUAGAAUUAUCUAGAUUUAGGAUUAAAAUAUUUGAGAUAUUUUGUAUAAUGGAGGCUAUAAAUACCUCCACUUCCCUUUCAUUUUGUAUCACCAAGAAAUAAACAAAACUUGUAACAAGUAAUAAAAAGCUUUCUUCUUCUAAGUUAUAAAAUCUUUCUUCUUCACAAAGCUUCUUUUCAAACACUUAAACACUUUUUCCAUCUUUAUAAAAAUUUUCAUUCCAACACAUUUUUCUCCGACAC
Molecule: long non-coding RNA, 331 nt
Filed under: Brassica napus (rape)
Lineage: Eukaryota; Viridiplantae; Streptophyta; Magnoliopsida; Brassicales; Brassicaceae
Description: long non-coding RNA (BNAP_LNC024812)
Source: RNAcentral